Prionailurus viverrinus (fishing cat) is the source of this 3401-nucleotide long non-coding RNA. RefSeq lists it as uncharacterized. The transcript is spliced from 12 exons. Lineage: Eukaryota; Metazoa; Chordata; Mammalia; Carnivora; Felidae. The record is from RefSeq and is a predicted model, not a curated record.
GAACCCUCCCCAGCCCAGGGAACGAGCCCUGCCCUGCUCCCCCUGAAGACCCACAACAGGCAGCACUAACGUGGGUAUCGCAGGCAGGCCGCCCGAGGACGCGUCUUAGCGGGCUGCAAUGAGAGUGGAAAACCAGCAAAAACUGAACUAAAUGCGGACCAAUGCAAAGUCUUGCACUCGGGGCCCCAAACUCAAAAACCAUCAGGGCAGGUCCGAGACCAGACAAAGAAAGCGUUUAUGGAGCCUAGACUUGGCGCACGUCAUCCGGGUGAAAACCCCCGCGUGGCACCAGCGUCCCCGUCCUACGGGGCAGGUGCUCAGCUCAGCCAGGCGCCUCUCAGAAAGCGAGACCACCCAUGGCUUCCCCUCCGAAGCUGGGUAGCAGAACAGGACUGAACAAGGUGAUGGGGGGGUGGCGCUGGGAUCCCCAACUGACAACAUUUCAGCAGCCUCCUCUCCGCUGGGGUCCUGCGGGAGGGCCCGGCCAGCCCGGGCUUUGGCAUACACCCUCUGCAUCCGCCAGGUGGUUCUCAAGGCACGCUCCCCAGACCCGCAGAACCAGCAGCACCUGGGAACUUACUAGAAAUGCAAAUACUCGGGCCCCGCCCCCAGACCCGAAAAUCAGCAACUCCGGGGGCGGGACCCAGCCACGGAGGGGGUUUAAUAAGCCCGCCAGGUGAUUCGGCUGCCUGCUCCGGUUGAUUGAGGGCCACUGCUGUGCCGGGAGCCGCUUUCAAGGACCUGGGCUCCUUCCGGCUCCUCCCGCAGGAGCCUGGAGGUUGGGACCAGGAUGCCUGUCUCCAUCAACACUGUGGUCCUUAACUAACGAGCGAGUGUCAGGAGUGAACACACAGAUGGGAAGAUUCAGCCGCGUCAACAAAUAGCAAGGUCUGUGGAGAAGCCAGCUGCCAUGUCACGAGGACACUCAAGCGACCCUGGUGGAGAAGUCUACACGGGGAACAAAGUCCUCCCCCAUCAAUAACCAUGACAAAGGUCACCCGGGUGGGACCAGAAGACAGAAGCAGCAGAGAGAGGUUCCUCCCGAGGCAGCACAGAGGGGCCCAAACACCUGUUUAUUGAUCUCCUUUCGAGUUCCAUUAAGCCCAGGUGAGGAAAUCGUGACUCCGAGAGGUCAACGCUCCGGGAUGUCCUAGCAAAGCCACCGGCAAAGGCAGAGGGACAGUUUCGUCUUCCCGGCUGGCAACGCUGCUCGUUCAACUCCCGUCCCCCUCUGAGUCCUCUAGGGACCUCACAGUCUGCCUACCUGGUCUAUUCUACCUCCCGAGGGCCACACAAUCUGCUGAUUUUUCUUCAUUAACUCCAUGGGAGAUGAAGAAAAACAGAGCCUACGUGGGGACCUUGUCAGCUAAAGGGGUCUUGCGGGAAGACGACAAGACGUUUUUGGAGGGGACGUGGUGAAGUGGUCGAGAGCAUAGACUCUUAAGGCGGGACUGCCUGGAUGGGAAUCCUGGUUGUAGGAUUUCAGGCGACACCCACCGAGGCCGGCUGCUCUCAGACGCUCAGUCCGUACGUCAACCGCCCAAUUCUGCAAGAACCGCCAAAACAGCAGAGCCGAACCCUAACCGAGAGGUUGCUGGAAUCCGGGUCCCAGAGCCUGAUUCGCGGUCCGAUGGAAACAGUCCAGUGAAGAGGCGGAAACCGAGCUGUUCUGCUGGGCCACUGUCUGCAAGUCUUGCCCUGAAAGACAGGCGUCAAGAAGCUCCUAGAAGGGAUAGUGAAGCUUUGUGUCUGCGAGCACCUGCCAUCCUUGUCUAGACUGCACUCUGGAUUUGAUUUGGGGAAUUCAACAAAACUGGGAUCCUGGAGAGUUUCUGACAACAAACGUCUUUCAAACACCGAUGAUGGAUGCCACGUCAUAUGAGGUGCCGUGGGGACAUGAAGUCAGGCAAGAUGUAGUUUUCCCCUUAAGAUGUUCAUAAUCUAGAAGAACAAGUCUCGUCUACGGGUCACCUGAGCACCAGAAGAAUUAUGAUCAAUGUUAUAAGGAAGGGACCCGGGCGGGAAUGUAACCUGGUUCCAUGAGUGCCCCUCACAAAGUUAACUGGGACAUUGUGUGUGUGCACGUGUGCCCUCAGGGCAAGGAGAGAGUGUCCAUAGUUUCCAUGAGAUUGUCAAAGCUUUCGGUGAUUUUUUUUUUUCCUGUGUAAUCCUUCUAGAAAUUAAAAGAAAAGAAGAAUCACAUUUGGUUGGGCUGGAGGAGGGAUGGGAAGCAGAGGUGGAGGCUUUUGGAGGAGGGAGGUGCCCGAGACCAGCCUCCAAGCACAGGUACAAUUUCAGUAGGCGCGGAUCUGGGGAAGGCCCUGGCAGAGGAAGUGUUGUGACCGGAUCGGGGUGGUGGCAAAGCCUGGGGGUGCGUUCAGGGAAUUAGGAUUAAUCCAGUUUGUGGGGUCACUGGGACAGGGACUAGAGGAGAGCGUAAAAGUAGCAGAGCCGGGAUUUGGUAUCACAAGCUGACCUGAUACUUGCCAUUGAUUACAUAUUUGUCAGCGGUCCAGCUCUGUGCCCUGCCUUCAGGGAAGGAGGAACUGUGCCCCGAAGAAGCUCAUGUUUUAGUUUAGAGGGAGAGGUGUGAACAGGCAGGAAACAAAGUUGGUUUAAGUACAACAGGAACUCAACGUUUUGGCCAGAGUAUUGAGUGAAGCUUCAGAAGGAGGUGCAGAUUUCCAGCAGGCAGUUAAAAACCUCAGGUCUAAAUGUUUGGAGAGUCGCCGGGGCUACAGAAAGAUACAUUUGGGAACAUUCCCUUUGAUACUGAUUUCUCAUUAAGACUAACAUCCUUGUGACGUUUAAUUCUGGCGUGGCACACUGCAUUCAGAAAUGACCAGUGGAGUCUUUGGUCCUCUCUGAACACACUUAAACAUUCAGAAGAGGAAUGUCGUUCGCGUAUUUUGCACAGUUAACCUGUACUCCCCGUGCAGACUGCAUUAAGGGCAGACCUCUUCAUGGAACCAAGUCACAAGUCACCUGGACAAGGAGCGGCUUACCCCAGGGGCCUGGUGGGGGGUGGGGAACCAGAUGCACUAGGACAAAGGACACAGGACCUGAUUCCGACUUCCCCAGGAAGGACUGCGCUCAGAGGCCUCUUGGAGCCCUCUCUGAAUUCCACCAGCCAACCCUUCCUUAUCAUUUCCUGCCUUGUUUUUUUUUUUUGCUUUAUUCACUUUUUUUUUUUAACCAGACUGCAAGUUUCCUAGGCUUACCCACUUACAUCACACGUAUUGCAACGCACCCAUCGCCAACAUUAAAUAACUGCAUUUUGCUCUAAAAAUUUGGGAAAGGGCUUUUGAUGAUUUGCACUUUUCGGCAGAACAAGUAAUUCGUUUUGCUCUUGUGACUUAAACUCUGUUAUAUGUAAUUAUGUAAGCCAUGUUACAGUUGAC